This is a long non-coding RNA of Gadus morhua (Atlantic cod), 377 nucleotides long. RefSeq lists it as uncharacterized. The record is from RefSeq and is a predicted model, not a curated record. NCBI's taxonomy places the organism in Eukaryota, Metazoa, Chordata, Actinopteri, Gadiformes, Gadidae. The transcript is spliced from 3 exons.
UAGGAAUGGAGCAGAGCCACACAUCCUGAUUCACUGCUCAGUACUUCCUGUUUACCAGUGGCACCAAAGAGUUCUGGUGAUGUUGUCCCCUACAGUACAUCCCUGCUGGGGGUUUGACCAUCGCUGCUGACAGGAAACCCACCAGGGCCAAGGUGUGCGCUGCGUUGGGGAUGAAUGUGCUGGUGGCUCUCUCGACCGUCGCUGGAAGUGUUCUUCAUUUCUUUGCUAGUGUACUAUUUGCGUACCCUCCCUGCCACCUUGGUUGUAAACAUUUGAGAAAUACUGAAUUGUUCAUGCUGGCAGCGUCCAUCUUGCUGUUCAUCGUCUCCAUACUGGUUGUUUCCUCUGCAGUGGCUGCUCUGUGUUCCUCUAGAAAG